RNAcentral lists this non-coding RNA (21 nucleotides) under Caenorhabditis elegans. Lineage: Eukaryota; Metazoa; Nematoda; Chromadorea; Rhabditida; Rhabditidae. The record is from RNAcentral.
UAGUGAUAUCUUAUUACUAAA